GGAAUCAAAAUCAUAGUAUAUUUCUUAACUGUUUAGUGAAUAAUAUUCAGAUAUCACAAUAAUGCAAUGCUGUUAAUUUAUCCCAAAAUAUUAUCUAAAAGUAUAAAUGUCAAUACCAACAGGUACAGCUCAAAAUAUUGAAGGAGAUUAUGUCUGGGGACUAGAACUACAGGUAUAAGAGGGUGAGGAAAGAAAUGCUGCCUUUAACUAUGAAUUUUGGAAUUAUGGGAAAAUCCCUUGAUGACACUCCCUACAAUAACAUGAAUUUCAAGAACCGGAUUCUCAUACUACAAAUCACUCCAAAAGAAUCUUCUGUCCCAGCUUCUUUGACUUCCAUCAUGUACCAUGUCCUGAAGGAGCAAUCCAACAUCUCCCAUGACUGGACUCUUUUAUACCAAGAGGAAGAAAAGGAAAUGAACCACAGAUAGCAAAGUGGUCUACCCUCAGCCACACAGUAAUUAUGGGGAAGAUCUAGGGUUUCCUGUUCUUGGCCUGGCCUGCUGAGGCAUUUUGUCUUGGUAAGUUACUUAACCCUAUCUGGGUUUUGUUUUGUUUUUUUCAUCUUUAGCCUUUAAAAAAAAAAAAAAAAAAAAAGACCAUCUAUUUC
RNAcentral lists this long non-coding RNA (607 nucleotides) under Vulpes vulpes (red fox). Its description in RNAcentral is "lncRNA (ENSVVUG00000017532.1)". The record is from RNAcentral. Lineage: Eukaryota; Metazoa; Chordata; Mammalia; Carnivora; Canidae.